AAGUAAACAAUGUUUGACAAACACGUUGAAAUUUUUUUCAAAACUCUAGUUAAAUUAAUGAUGCAUUGCAUCAAGCUUUCAGCUUCAACCUCAUGUAAACUAAUUUUCAUGUAGAUUACAUGUUAUUUUCACUAAUUUUGAGUUACGUGAUCCAAUUCAUUAAAAUGGGGACAACAUGAACACAUGAUCAGCAUAUCCAAGCCAAAUCUUCUUACCUGAUGGCUAGUGAAGCAUUACAACGUUAAAGAUUCAACUUUACUCCAGCCAAUGUCAAUUUUGGCUUUCAUCAAUGACAUUCUACAUUUUGAUUUAAACUCUGAACAUCGCUGUAACAAGAUUAACCUUCAAUUUUGGAUUUCAUUGAAAAGCUCUUCAACUGUUGAGCUCAAGCUAAAGAUACAUCUUCUAUGCUUCACCUGUUGAAUAUCAAACAUCUCUCAGGAUUCACCAAGAGCUGUCCACUCCAAACAUAUUUCAUAUCUACGCAUAAAAAGCAAAUUUAUUGAAGUAUUCGUUUAAGAAGCUGGUAAAUGCUUUUUGUCUGACUAUCUAACUCUAAUAUGUCAAAAGUCGAAAGUCACUGUCGUUUGGUUUGUGAAUACAAAAUGGUUUCGCAUUAACCUGGAAAUCAAUGGACUUGUUAUGAGAAGACCCAAAGCUUAUAGUGUUGUGAGAGUCAAGCAAUAAGGAAUGAGAAACGAGUUUCAAGGAACAUAGCUUGCCUCAGAUUAGAGUUAAAUUUCAAUGGAAUUCUGAAUAAGCUUUGAUUAAUUUGACUGUCUGGAUUCACCAGAAAACAGUUUUCGUGUGUUGGAAAAUUAAAAGAGAAACUUUCCCCAUAAUUUUGAUAGGCACUGUACCUGCGAAUGGAACAAACAAAAGUACUUACAAUGUUUACAUCUGCCUUCAACAUUCAAGACAAUCUAGUUUAUCAUGUUUCUGGUGUUAGUAAUUCAGUUAAUUCUAGGUUCACUCUUAUCAGCGAAACUCAUUAAUCAGCAUUUUCUUAGUUUUAUGACAUUAUAAUGCAUUUACUUUAGUCAUUUUAUUUGCAAAUAACGCAGCAAUCAGCCAAUUUUUUUAUUUACCAUUUGUUUCUAAUUAGUCUCAUAAUUGUUUAUUCAUUUUUCUACCAUUUCUUUUUAUAAAAAUCUCUUAUUUACGUGUAACAUUGGUGCAUUCAAUCGGUUCAACUUAUACUGAAUUCACUGAAAAAACCGAUCAGAAAGAAUCUAAAAGUUAAUGGUCUAAUCCACCCUGGAUUACAGUCAGGAUCACCUUUAAAAGCUACAAUUAAACCUUAUCAAUCUUUCAGAUACCAAACAGAACAGUAAUAAAACAUGGUAAAAGAGCCAAUUAAAGACUUAAUAUUUAACAAAUAUCAGAGCAUCUUGAAGAGUGCAUAAUUGGUGUCAUUUCCAGGAGCAAUGCUAAUUCCUUCACAAGACAAAGAAUCUUCCAGAAUCCAUAAGUCAUCUAUUCCAAGCAAUCCACACCAAGUUGAACAAAAUGAAGACGCAAAAACUGAAGCUCUAUGAUGGAUGAAGAAACAGAUUCACAUUGAUAGAGUCAAUAAAUCUGCAAAUUUUUUCGCAAUUUUUCAUCUCAUUUCUUUCUCAUUUGUCCUUGCUUUUUUACAACAUUAUCAUUAUCAUUCUGAUAUAUUUAUAUCAUGCUAUAUUAUAAUUUAUAAACAUAAUAUCAAGAAAGUCUCACAUUUUCCUCCCCUUUUGCCUUACUAAUAAAACAUGGUAAAAAAUGAUACAGUAAAAUGACUGACUGACGAAUGAAUCUCUGCUUAUCUUGAAUAAACUCCCCUAAACUCUCA
Molecule: long non-coding RNA, 1828 nt
Organism: Tetranychus urticae (two-spotted spider mite)
Lineage: Eukaryota; Metazoa; Arthropoda; Arachnida; Trombidiformes; Tetranychidae
Source: RefSeq, a predicted model, not a curated record